AACACCUUCAUGGGAUGGGGAGGGGGUGCCUCUCCCACAAGCUUGUGGAACCUUCCAGCUUCAUGACCAGUGGUGAGCUAGGCUCUUUCCAAUACCUGGUCCAGAGCUGAGAGUUGUCUCCCCAAUAUCAAGUGGUAAAAUAACUUUCAGAACUGGGGUUUUAAUGACCAGACCAUCACUCCAUGGCAGUUUUACGUAUGAUAUUAUGUGAUGCAUAGGCUUUCUUUCAUGGACAACCAACUAAAUUCUCUUCUGGAUUGUUCUCAAGACCCCUGACCUCACAGUAGGCCAGCAAAGGCAAUCAGCAAACAUGAUGGCAAUCAGAAACUAGUCAUGGAAUGAAACUCUUACUUGUCCCCUGUGAACUUGGGGAAUUUUAUUAACUCCUCCACCCAUCUUUCUUGGAAUAACAGCACUUCCAUUGCUGAGCAAGAAAGAGUUGUCAUUUCUGUUUGGAACUUUUAUUCUGGAAGGAAACUUAAGUAUCUGGCUUAGGAUGGGAAGGAGGUUUGAUCUUCUCUGGGAGGGAAGCUAAGUGGGAAGUUCUCUGUCCUGCACAGCUUCCUGAUACCAUCAGCAUCAACCCUGACUCAGCUAGUGUAAUCCUUCAUCCUUCUGGGGAGUGGUGAUCUGUAGAAAGCAGCCUGUGGAUUUAUUGUAUCAACAUUUUAGAGAUUAGAAGGUAUCUAAAGAUGACAGAUAAGCCUCACUCAAGUGGCUAAGACAAAACUUCAAAAACAAAACUAGUGAUCUUGAGCAAUUAAAUUCAUUUUAACUACAAGGAAGAAAUCACACUAUCAUAAGACUGUGGGGGAAGAAAGUUUAAUGACCCAGGUUAUUGAGUUUUUAAGUGUGUGUGUGUGUGUGUUUAGGUUAGUUCCAAAUUAUUUUAAAUUCAAGUGAUCAUGUGAAUUAGUUAUGACACUAAAUGAUAAAUUCAGUUAGAAAUCAUGGAAAGAGAUUGCCAGUUCCACCUUUCAGUCUUAUGGAUUUACAUGCUUCAUCUGAUUGGCACUCUGAAUCAACUCACCAUGGAUUGUUUACAGAAUAUAAAAAGAAAAAAAAACUGGCACAAGCAGUUAAAAGAAAGUCCCCAUAAGAAGUGGGCUGUUCGGUUGUCCAACCUUAUCAGGAAGCAGUAUGUAACUCAACCUAGCUUCUCAUUGAAAUUGCUUUUGCCCACAGCCACGUCAGGCUCCUGUCUAGGCGUCUUUGAUGUUGCUCUUGUACAAAGACAAUUAGGAAUGUGGAUGUCCAAAGAUCACUUGAGACUGAGAAUGAAAGCACUAAGAAUUAGUGGAGACAGAGCACUUUAAAAGCAAUUGUGUUUCUAUCGCAAAUUUAAAAGUGAUGCCAUUUGUCUUACAGGCAUUGUAU
Molecule: long non-coding RNA, 1377 nt
Filed under: Marmota monax (woodchuck)
Lineage: Eukaryota; Metazoa; Chordata; Mammalia; Rodentia; Sciuridae
Source: RNAcentral